GGAGAGGUGUCCGAGUGGUUUAAGGAGCACGCUUGGAAAGCGUGUGUAGGGUAACCCUUACCGCGGGUUCGAAUCCCGCCCUCUCCGCCA
RNAcentral lists this transfer RNA (90 nucleotides) under Candidatus Cloacimonadota bacterium. Its description in RNAcentral is "tRNA-Ser". It matches the Rfam family "tRNA". From Rfam's summary of the family: Transfer RNA (tRNA) molecules are approximately 80 nucleotides in length. Lineage: Bacteria; Pseudomonadati; Candidatus Cloacimonadota. The record is from RNAcentral.